AUCCUACGGGGGGCAGCAGUAGGGAAUCUUCCACAAUGGGCGAAAGCCUGAUGGAGCAACGCCGCGUGGGUGAAGAAGGUCUUGGGAUCGUAAAACCCUGUUGUUAGAGAAGAAAGUGCGUGAGAGUAACUGUUCACGUUUCGACGGUAUCUAACCAGAAAGCCACGGCUAACUACGUGCCAGCAGCCGCGGUAAUACGUAGGUGGCAAGCGUUAUCCGGAUUUAUUGGGCGUAAAGGGAAUGCAGGCGGUCUUUUAAGUCUGAAGUGAAAGCCUUCGGCUUAACCGGAGUAGUGCAUUGGAAAC
Molecule: ribosomal RNA, 305 nt
Filed under: uncultured bacterium
Lineage: Bacteria
Description: bacterial SSU rRNA
Rfam family: Bacterial small subunit ribosomal RNA
Source: RNAcentral